CCUCAAAUCAGGUAGGACUACCCGCUGAACUUAAGCAUAUCAAUAAGCGGAGGAAAAGAAACUAACAAGGAUUCCCCCAGUAACUGCGAGUGAAGAGGGAAGAGCUCAAAUUCAGAAUCUGACAGUCUUGGCUGUCCGAGUUGUAAAUUAGAGAAGUGUUAUCCGCGCUGGGCUGUGCAUAAGUCUCUUGGAAAAGGGCAUCAUAGAGGGUGACAAUCCCGUCUUUGGCACAGACUACCAGGGCUUUUGUGAUACGCUCUCGAUGAGUCGAGUUGUUUGGGAAUGCAGCUCUAAAUGGGUGGUAAAUUCCAUCUAAAGCUAAAUAUUGGCGAGAGACCGAUAGCGCACAAGUACCGUGAGGGAAAGAUGAAAAGAACUUUGAAAAGAGAGUUAAACAGUACGUGAAAUUGUUGAAAGGGAAACGCUUGAAGUCAGUCACAUCCUUCAGAAAUCAACCUGACCAUCAGGUUGGGUGUACUUUCUGUUGGAUGGGUCAGCAUCAAUUUUGAUCAUUGGAUAAAGGCCUUGGGAAAGUGGCAUCUCUGGAUGUGUUAUAGCCCAUGGUUCAUACACAGUGGUUGGGAUUGAGGAACUCAGUGCUUUUUGCACUUCAGGAUGCUGGCAUA
RNAcentral lists this ribosomal RNA (626 nucleotides) under uncultured Basidiomycota. Its description in RNAcentral is "LSU rRNA". It matches the Rfam family "Eukaryotic large subunit ribosomal RNA", at positions 1 to 633 of the family's 3401-position model. Lineage: Eukaryota; Fungi; Basidiomycota. The record is from RNAcentral.